GGCUGUUUUGGGGCCGUUCAGGGUGGUUUUCGGGUGUUUUUGGGGCUGUUUGGGGUGGUUUUGGGCUGUUUUGGGGCCAUUUGGGGUGGUUUCGGGGUGAUUUUGGGUUGUUUUGGGGCCGUUCGGGCUGUUGUUGGGCUGUUCAGGGUGUUUUGGCGCUGGUUUUGGGCCAUUUGGGGUGGUUUUGGGGCUGUUUUGGGGUGUUUUGGGGUCCAUUUGGGUGGUUUUCGGGUGCUUUUGGGGCUGUUUGGGGUGGUUUGGGGCUGUUUUGGGGCCGUUUGGGCUGGUUUUGGGCCAUUUGGGGGUGGUUUUUGGGCUGUUUUGGGGCUGUUGGGGCUGUUUGGGCUGGUUUUGGGCCAUUUGGGGUGGCUUUGGUGUGUUUUGGGGGCUGUUUGGGGCGGUUUUGGUGUGUUUUUGGGGUGUUUUUGGGCUGUUUUUGGGCUGUUCGGGCUGUUUUGGGGUGUUUUGGGGCUGUUUUGGGGCCGUUCAGGGUGGUUUUGGGGUGGUUUUGGGGCUGUUUUGGGGUGUUUUGGGGUCCAUUUGGGUGGUUUUCGGGUGUUUUUGGGGCUGUUUUGGGGUGUUUUUGGGUCCAUUUAGGUGGUUUUCGGGUGUUUUUGGGGCUGUUUGGGGUGGUUUGGGUCUGUUUUGGGGCCGUUUGGGGUGGUUUCGGGGUGAUUUGGGGUUGUUUUGGGGCCGUUCGGGCUGUUUUUGGGCUGUUCAGGGUGUUUUGGGCUGGUUUUGGGCCAUUUGGGGUGGUUUUGGGGCUGUUUUGGGGUGUUUUUGGGUCCAUUUGGGUGGUUUUCGGGUGUUUUUGGGGCUGUUUGGGGUGGUUUGGGGCUGUUUUGGGGCCGUUUGGGCUGGUUUUGGGCCAUUUGGGGUGGUUUUGGUGUGGUUUUGGGGCGGUUUUGGUGUGUUUUGGGCUGUUUUGGGGCUGUUUUGGGGCUGUUUUUAGGUGUUUUGGGGCUGUUUUUGGGCUGUUCGGGGUGUUUUGGGGCUGUUUUUGGGUGUUUUUGGGCUGUUUUUGGGUGACGGUGCCGUUCCCCAGUUCUGCCGCCUGGCCGCUCGCCGGGCGCUGCAGGCGCAGUUGGAGCAGCUCCGCUUCCGCCUCUCCGACCGCUCGCUGCUGCUGCUGCCCGAGUACCACCAGCGCCUCAACGUGAGUGCAGAGCGCCCCAAAAUAUCCCCAAAUGGACCCAAAAUAUCCCCAAA
RNAcentral lists this long non-coding RNA (1209 nucleotides) under Anas platyrhynchos platyrhynchos (common mallard). RNAcentral describes it as "lncRNA (ENSAPLG00000019008.1)". Lineage: Eukaryota; Metazoa; Chordata; Aves; Anseriformes; Anatidae. The record is from RNAcentral.